Gorilla gorilla gorilla (western lowland gorilla) is the source of this 73-nucleotide non-coding RNA. Lineage: Eukaryota; Metazoa; Chordata; Mammalia; Primates; Hominidae. The record is from the annotation of a RefSeq genome assembly.
GUUUCCGUGGUGUAGUGGUUAUCACAUUCGCCUUACACGCGAAAAGUCCUCGGGUCGAAACCGAGCGGAAACA